Molecule: long non-coding RNA, 2268 nt
Organism: Sorex araneus (European shrew)
Lineage: Eukaryota; Metazoa; Chordata; Mammalia; Eulipotyphla; Soricidae
Exons: 3
Source: RefSeq, a predicted model, not a curated record
CUCAGUGAGCGCAAGUUGCCGAGUGGCACGGCCGUGGUUUCCUCUCCCUGACUCUGAGUUCGCUGGGCUGGGCCUCUGGAAUGCUUGUUCUGGGUGGCGCUGCCCGGGGCCUCUGUGGCACACGCACUACGUGCAUCACCUAGCGGGAAUGUCACUGGAGAACACAGACGCUCGUCCGCGUGGCACGAUGGGAAGGCAGACAUGUCAGUUCUGUAACCAUGGAGAGCUCCGAAGAGACCAAGCACCAAUGGAGGAAAGGCAGAUUGAGUAACGUGACCUCAAGAGAGCCUUUGUUCGAUCUUUGGCACAUUGUUCCCAAGGCAGCAAUGGUCCGUUUGGGCGAGACAUAUGACACCCUGAGGGAAGCUGGACUUGGAAGAAGCAGAAGGACCAGCCCGUGCAGGAGGAACAGAGCGAGCGUGUGUUCUUUCCCUGGUCAUGGACACUCCUGCACCCCGGGGUGCUGCUACCAAACAAAGGUCCUUUGGAAGAGUCGGAGCAACCCCUGGCUGGUCUUGUUGACGAGCAGGCUCCUUUCUCUGGGAGAAUCAGGCUCCUGUUCAGCGCCAGACCGCGGUGAGGGUACAAGGAGUCAGGUAAGUACCAAGAAGAGGACAUUGCCGAGAGCCAGAGAAGCGUGGGGACGGAUGUCAGCAUGCCGGGGUCUCAUUCAUGCUGGAGAGCAACUGUCCCACAGAGGAGAAACAGAAGCCCAGUGGGCAGGGCUUGUAAGGGCUCCAAACUGGCAAACACUGUGUUGCCUACUACUCAGACACAAGCCCAUCAGAACUUCAUUAUUCUUGAUCUGCUAAAGGGUCUCAUCCGAUUCAGCUCUGGAGUGAAUUCCUUCCAUGCUCUCCCUUCUCCGUAUUCGAAACAGAGAGACUGCUUCUAGGGUUUAGAUGAGAAACCCUCUCGCUGACUCAACAGGCGGGGUGGCCAACUGCUCGUGUACUCACAGGACACGGCUCAACUCAUGGCCAGGUGCUUAUGGAGCUGAGUGUGGGGGAGUUGUCAGUGCAGGUGACGAUAGCUUGGAGCAUCUCUUAUUUGACUUCCUGUCUGCUUCCCCACUGCCUGCUCUGGAGAGAGGCUAACGUUAAGAAUCCGAGGCAGACGGACUCCUUGCCCUCAAACUUUGUGUGGAUUCCAACGAGAUUGGCUCUUGUUUCCCCCAGGAUCCUUCCCAGAUGCCAAGAACCAGGUGUAGAUGGUUAAUUCGAGAACUCUAAUAGGAGUGAAAUAAGAGUUGGGGAAAGUAGCCAUCGGAGGAUCUAAGUGCCGACUUUGACACCGAAUGCCUUUGACUCAAGAACUCAGGGAUUCUGAGAAGAAAAUAGGUCACAGCCUUCCCAGGACGCAAGGGCGAAGCGUCUCUUAGUGGCUCUUGUCUCCACCGCAGGAACGGCUUCUCCCCUGCUGUGUUCUCCUGGGGAAGGACCGAGCAGGACAUCAGGAGAGGACCGGGGGCAAGGCGGAGGGCAGGGCUGCACCCCACCGGCAUGACACUGCUCACCAAAGCUCAGGCUGGGCCCCGGGGUGCAGGCAGCAGGGAGUGCGCACCCUGGAGAGCUUCACUGCCAGGUCCUCAGUUCCACUGGCUUCCUUCUGGCUCUGCUUUCAUUUGCCAGCACUAUUUGAGUGGGCCACACAAGUGGCGCCUGAGCCAGUGAAUGGUCAUUCAGUAACUUCCGCUCAUGAGAGUUCUGUGGAAGAAGCGAACGGGAGUAGCAACUCGGACUGACGUGGAGAAUCCAAUGCUGCCCACGGGGGUGACCGCAAAGUCACACGAGCUGACACUGUCAUGGGGGAGAACAUCAUAAGCAACUCCACUUAAAGAAGAUCUGAGUGCAAAAAUGACUGGGGCCAUAAUUUAAAUUCUCAAAGAAAGAUCACCGACAAAGUCAAUGAACAGGCGCCUUUACUACAGAGCAGUGGUAGAUAUUAGAACCGUUACGUAAAAAGGACUUUGAAUGUUAUCACUAAAACCUCCCAAAGGAUUACAUAAAGGAAAAUGUAAUAUUUCUAAAGAGAAAAAAUGAGAAAUGAUGGAAUAAAACAGAUAGAUAUGAACAGAAUUAUUUUGAAGAAAGAUGUCUCUUAAAUUUUUUGAUGUGGGGGGCCAGAAAGAUGGAUCAGUGAGUUGAGCACAAGCUUACAUGCAGAAGGCCUGGGUUUCAUCCCUGGCACCUUGUGGUUCCUUGAGAUCUGAACACGAGCCAGGAAUAGCCCCUCAGUGCUAUUGGGUUCCUUCAAAUAAGCCAAACA